AUUCCCCAAUGAGACAGUCUUUUUGAUCAGUUCUCUCAGAACCCUCUGCAGAAAUGAUCAGAGACUUGAACACCGAGGCAGGCAAGCCUAUUUGGUAUUAAGCAAGAUUCAACAGAAAAAAUCUCCUGAGAAGAGGGCAUGCAGAAAGGAGCAAGGCCGAACAACUUCUACUUUCCUUUCUUAGAUUCAUUACAAACAACACAGAUGUGGAUGCUCAAGUCCUCUGAUGGUCCUUAAACAUAGACAGGUCUUUGAAAAGGAAGGAACAAAGUAAGAAAAAGCUCCGAGAUUAUUUGGAACUGACUGGAUGGAGAAGAUGGAAGAAAUUGUCUUUCAUUCAGGGCAUAGAAUCUCAAUACUAUGGCAGUUAUACCAAGUGGCCCAGCAUCAUCUUCCUGACCCUGCCCAUCAAUUUUCUUACAUUGGCCCAUGCAUACUACUGAGAUAGACAUGCGCUAAGAAGAAAACCAAAUGAAAGCUUCUAUUGGUUGGUGAAAAGCAAGAUCCUCCUCUUUCCCAUCCGGUUGGAGGCUACUCUUCUCCUAAGUGCCCAUUAUGUGGCAGGCUCUCAGUAAUUAUUGAUCAAGAGGAAGAAGAUGGAUUCUUGCCCUCCAGGGGGUCACUUCUGAGGCAGUACAUAAGACAGCUGCAUACCAGGUAGCUGGUAGUGACUGGCUGAUGAAUGACACACAGCACUGAGAGAGGGAAUGCUUCUGAUCGCAUCGGAUCGAAAGGCAGGCUGCAUCGGAAAGUGGUGCUUCCGGCUGAAAUCACAGUGCCCUCCCUCCUCAGAACAUGGCUCAAUCAAUUACAAAUACCACCCCAGCUCCAGUCACUCAGACAGCAACAUCAUCUCCUCUUUCUUUUCUGGGUUAAAACUUUUGCCUUAUCAUGGUGAUAAGCGACUACAUUAAGUUCCUUCUGCUGCUCCAACCAAGUAACUGGAAUUUAGUGGCUCUACAAGAAUUGAGAUUGCCUCACAUUGCUGUAGAAGCCAGCAUUUCUGAAUCAGUUUUAGCUGGCUAGAGUUAGGGACAUGGUCAGGGGAGCAGGGCUGGUCACCAAGGUGGCUUUGGCAGAGAAUCACUUCCUGGUCUUUUUUUGUUGCCACUGCAUUCUGCCACAUGCAGCCUUCAACUCUCUCUUCAGACCCAGCUGUGAAUACCCUUCCAUCUGUCUGUCAUCAGAUCCCCUUACUUCACUCUCAAGAGGGAGUUUUUGUGGUUGCACUAAGUUGUGCCUGGAUAAUCCAGGAUAAUCUCCUCACUUCAGGAUCUCCAAGUAAACCCCAGCUACAAAUCUCAUGAGCCACACAUUCACAGUGCAAGGGUUAGGGGCAUUAUUUAGCUUCAUGGAGCAGCCAGUAAAAAGAGGAAGGAGGCCUCUUUUUACAAGCCUUUUUUUCAUUGAGCUUCAUUUUUGUGUAUGCAUUUGAGCUACUGCGUGUUACUAGUAAUGUGGAAUGUAAGGGCUACAGUAUUUUUUUAAGAAGCAGAGAAGUAGAUCAAAAAGAUCCAGGAUGAAAUACAGAAGACAAGGGGCAAGGAAAGAAAUACUCAAAGCCUUUUAAAUGGGAGCUCAGGGGCCAGUGUUGCCUGAGUCAUGCCUGCGGCCAUUUCUGAUAAAUGGGGAAGAAGACCUGCAUGAAGAAUGGCGCCCUGAGCUGGAGUGGGCAGAUGCUAAUAUGUUCCUUAAAUGAGCAAUUUUUACAUACCUCAGGGAGAGGGCUAAGUGAUGAGCUUAUAACAAUCUAUCCUCUUCCAAAAUGAUUUUUAUUUUAACUACUCUAUUACAAGUUUGUAUUUCUGUGCAUGUAUAUGUGUAUUUCUGUAUAGGUCAGAAGAAGAAGUCGAACUCCCCCAGAACUGAAGUUACAGGUGGUCGUGAGUCUCCUACUGAGAACUAACUUUGGGUCCCUUGCAAUAGCAGCAAGCAUUCUUAACUGUUCUUCACGGUAGAAUUUGGCCAUUCAAGUGAAUACAGAAUUAAUCUUAUCAGGAGACAUUUGCUAUGUCCACAAUCUCGGCUUUUGUGCAUAUCCUUUGAAGAGAUUUUAUUGAUUUUAGACUAUUAAAUCCCCCCUUCCUCCACU
RNAcentral lists this long non-coding RNA (2092 nucleotides) under Mus pahari (shrew mouse). Its description in RNAcentral is "lncRNA (MGP_PahariEiJ_G0003460.1)". Lineage: Eukaryota; Metazoa; Chordata; Mammalia; Rodentia; Muridae. The record is from RNAcentral.